CGGAGGAGGAGGGAUGGAGGCGAGAGAGAAUAUAUUUUAUUAUACGCAGGCUGUCGACGAUAGUUAGUAUAUCAGUUUGUGACCGUAAGUGCACGGAUUAUCGUAGCUUUUUCUUUAGAGUAUUCCAUCUAAGGUUUAUCAAUCUGUUGAUCGGCAGCAAACUAAUUAGGGUUCUUUAUCUAGCUAAACGGAUCUAAUUCUAUUAUAAAGCAUGAAUUGCGUAUAAAGGUAAACACAAUCGUGAGAUAAAUAUUAUAGGGUAAAUAGAGCACAUCUAUAUAUAUGAGGUAACACAACCAAAGAUAACAUGAGCAUAUUGUCUUCUUGUUGUAGUUCCAGCCAAAAUGGUAACCAAUCUAUGUAGCACCUUGACAAACAAUCAUCUCUUAGAAAGGCAACUCGCAAGCGGCCAACUUUCUUGUGGUCACCACUACGACGCCUCUGAUUUUCCAAAGCUUUACCUCAAACGACUACCACAUUACUCACCAUCGAUCCUACUCAAUAUUACGCAAUCGUUCGGCCUUUUCCCUCCCACAUGCUGUCACCAUGCAAAGAUAAUC
This 560-nucleotide long non-coding RNA is filed under the name Setaria viridis. Its description in RNAcentral is "long non-coding RNA (SVIR_LNC006663)". The record is from RNAcentral. Lineage: Eukaryota; Viridiplantae; Streptophyta; Magnoliopsida; Poales; Poaceae.